UAAAUAUGUGUCAGGUGUGGGUAAAGCUGGUAAAGCAGGGAGUGCUCAGAGCCUGGUGGGUGUGAAGUGGGAGGAGGAAUAACCACGGUUUGCACCCCAGGAUGGUUCUGCAGUGCUGGCAGCAAGGUCUGUGCUGACAUCUCCUUUCCCUGCCCUUCUCCUGCAGGUACCCUUGUUGAGUAAACCAAAAGAUUAAUGAAGUUCUUGAGGCCUUGUAAUUCAGCUCUGCUGCAGACCCAAAACUGAUGCGUGAAGUGAGCCCUUCCAGCUGUUUCACCAAAUCAUCUGUAGGGAACAAGAUUUCCCAAUCCUUUCUGCUACAGC
Molecule: long non-coding RNA, 324 nt
Filed under: Parus major (Great Tit)
Lineage: Eukaryota; Metazoa; Chordata; Aves; Passeriformes; Paridae
Description: lncRNA (ENSPMJG00000016467.1)
Source: RNAcentral